Molecule: transfer RNA, 77 nt
Filed under: Sphingomonas sp.
Lineage: Bacteria; Pseudomonadati; Pseudomonadota; Alphaproteobacteria; Sphingomonadales; Sphingomonadaceae
Description: tRNA-Arg
Rfam family: tRNA
About the family: Transfer RNA (tRNA) molecules are approximately 80 nucleotides in length. Their secondary structure includes four short double-helical elements and three loops (D, anti-codon, and T loops). Further hydrogen bonds mediate the characteristic L-shaped molecular structure. tRNAs have two regions of fundamental functional importance: the anti-codon, which is responsible for specific mRNA codon recognition, and the 3' end, to which the tRNAs corresponding amino acid is attached (by aminoacyl-tRNA synthetases). tRNAs cope with the degeneracy of the genetic code in two manners: having more than one tRNA (with a specific anti-codon) for a particular amino acid; and 'wobble' base-pairing, i.e. permitting non-standard base-pairing at the 3rd anti-codon position.
Source: RNAcentral
GCAGGCUUAGCUCAGUUGGACAGAGUGCAUCGCUACGAACGAUGAAGUCGGGAGUUCGAAUCUCUCAGCCUGCGCCA